RNAcentral lists this ribosomal RNA (431 nucleotides) under uncultured Alphaproteobacteria bacterium. RNAcentral describes it as "bacterial SSU rRNA". It matches the Rfam family "Bacterial small subunit ribosomal RNA", at positions 29 to 505 of the family's 1533-position model. The record is from RNAcentral. Lineage: Bacteria; Pseudomonadati; Pseudomonadota; Alphaproteobacteria.
AACGAACGCUGGCGGCAGGCCUAACACAUGCAAGUUGAACGCCCAGUUUACUGGGAGUAGCGCACGGGUGCGUAACACGUGGGAAUAUGCCCUUAGGUAAGGAAUAACGUCUGGAAACGGCCGCUAAUACCUUAUAAUGACUCCGGUCCAAAGAUUUAUCGCCUAGGGAUUAGCCCGUGUCUGAUUAGAUAGUUGGUGAGGUAAUGGCUCACCAAGUCGACGAUCAGUAGGGGGUCUGAGAGGAUGAUCCCCCACACUGGAACUGAGACACGGUCCAGACUCCUACGGGAGGCAGCAGUGAGGAAUAUUGGACAAUGGGGGAAACCCUGAUCCAGCCAUGCCGCGUGAGUGAAGAAGGUCUUCGGGUUGUAAAGCUCUUUCAGAUGCGAAGAUAAUGACGGUAACAUCAGAAGAAGCCCCGGCUAAAUUCG